This 253-nucleotide ribosomal RNA is filed under the name uncultured bacterium. Its description in RNAcentral is "partial 16S ribosomal RNA". It matches the Rfam family "Bacterial small subunit ribosomal RNA", at positions 524 to 776 of the family's 1533-position model. The record is from RNAcentral.
UACAGAGGUCUCAAGCGUUGUUCGGAUUCAUUGGGCGUAAAGGGUGCGUAGGCGGCGCCGUAAGUCGGGUGUGAAAUUUCGGAGCUUAACUCCGAAACUGCAUUCGAUACUGCCGUGCUUGAGGACUGGAGAGGAGACUGGAAUUUACGGUGUAGCAGUGAAAUGCGUAGAGAUCGUAAGGAAGACCAGUGGCGAAGGCGGGUCUCUGGACAGUUCCUGACACUGAGGCACGAAGGCCAGGGGAGCAAACGGG